GCUGGGCAUGGUGGCACACGCCUGUAGUCCCAGCUACUCAGGAGGCUGAGGUGGGGGAAUUGCUUGAGCCCAGGAGAUUGAGGCUGCAGUGAGCUAUGAUGGCGCCACUGCCCUCCAGCCUGGGCAACAGAGUGAGACCCUGUCUCAA
Macaca fascicularis (crab-eating macaque) is the source of this 148-nucleotide unclassified non-coding RNA. It matches the Rfam family "Metazoan signal recognition particle RNA". From Rfam's summary of the family: The signal recognition particle (SRP) is a universally conserved ribonucleoprotein. It is involved in the co-translational targeting of proteins to membranes. The eukaryotic SRP consists of a 300-nucleotide 7S RNA and six proteins: SRPs 72, 68, 54, 19, 14, and 9. Lineage: Eukaryota; Metazoa; Chordata; Mammalia; Primates; Cercopithecidae. The record is from Ensembl.